RNAcentral lists this ribosomal RNA (497 nucleotides) under uncultured bacterium. RNAcentral's name for it is "partial 16S ribosomal RNA". It matches the Rfam family "Bacterial small subunit ribosomal RNA", at positions 28 to 507 of the family's 1533-position model. The record is from RNAcentral.
GAUGAACGCUGGCGGCGUGCCUAAUACAUGCCAGUCGAGCGAACAGACGAGGAGCUUGCUCCUCUGACGUUAGCGGCGGACGGGUGAGUAACACGUGGAUAACCUACCUAUAAGACUGGGAUAACUUCGGGAAACCGGAGCUAAUACCGGAUAAUAUAUUGAACCGCAUGGUUCAAUAGUGAAAGACGGUUUUGCUGUCACUUAUAGAUGGAUCCGCGCCGCAUUAGCUAGUUGGUAAGGUAACGGCUUACCAAGGCGACGAUGCGUAGCCGACCUGAGAGGGUGAUCGGCCACACUGGAACUGAGACACGGUCCAGACUCCUACGGGAGGCAGCAGUAGGGAAUCUUCCGCAAUGGGCGAAAGCCUGACGGAGCAACGCCGCGUGAGUGAUGAAGGUCUUCGGAUCGUAAAAUUCUGUUAUUAGGGAAGAACAAAUGUGUAAGUAACUAUGCACGUCUUGACGGUACCUAAUCAGAAAGCCACGGCUAACUACGUG